Molecule: ribosomal RNA, 284 nt
Filed under: Ixodes ricinus (castor bean tick)
Lineage: Eukaryota; Metazoa; Arthropoda; Arachnida; Ixodida; Ixodidae
Description: partial small subunit ribosomal RNA
Source: RNAcentral
AAAAUUAAAUUUGAUUUUAAAAAAAUUUAAUUUUUAAACUAGGAUUAGAUACCCUAUUAUUUUAAGCUUAAUGUUGGUAGUAAGUAAAAAUUAUGAAAUCAUAAAAUUUUGGCGGUAUUUUAAGCUUGUUAGAGGAAUUUGCUCUAUAAUGGAUACAACGCCUAUAUCUUACUUAAUUUUGUAAUUAAAGUCAGUUUGUAUACCACUAUAUUUAAUUAUAUUGAAUAAUUAUAUUUAAGAUUUUUAUACAAAUAUAUAUUAAGUCAAGGUGCAACAAAUAAUUA